This 1348-nucleotide long non-coding RNA is filed under the name Vigna radiata. Its description in RNAcentral is "long non-coding RNA (VRAD_LNC005855)". Lineage: Eukaryota; Viridiplantae; Streptophyta; Magnoliopsida; Fabales; Fabaceae. The record is from RNAcentral.
UGAUUGAUAUAUAGUGAAUAACACAAGUAUAAAUUAGUGGGUGCUUGGAAACUCUGGCAUGCAUGCCCUGUUCUGGUCAAGUGAAGCCGUUUAACAAAAAAUUUAAGGUUAGAGAGUUUCUGUAAGGAUGAAGGAAAAUUUGAAAUGGCCAAUGAAAAGGCAACAAAGGAAAAUAGGGUGGUGGUCAUGUGGGACCCGUGAUGAAUGACCAUCAUAAACUCCAAAAGAAAAUGGUGGAGCCAGGUGAGAAAAAAUAGGAAAGAAAGUGGACAACUUUUGGUUCCUCGGCCUUUUUUUCAGCAACCGCAUUUCGAAAUGCGGUGAAUAUGAAUGCGGUUGGUUUCAGACGCCAAUCUAGGUGCGGCAAGCGUUACGCAACGCCAUUUGCAGUUCGAAAACGCAUCCCCCAAACCUCAACCGUCGUUCGUAUUACGGCACAGCUUAACCGCAAGGCCAUUUGCGGUUUGAAAAUGCACCCCCAAACCUCAACCGCCAUUCGUAUUGCGGCACAACUUAAUCGCAAGGCCAUUUGCGGUUCGUAAACGCACCCCCCAAACCUCAACCGCCAUUCGUACUACGGCACAGCUUGACCGCAAGGUCAUUUGCGGUUCGAAAACACACCCUCCAAACCCCAACCGCCGUUCGUACUGCGGCACAGCUUAACCGCAAUGCCAUUUGCGGUUCGAUAUGCGGCACCCCAUUCACACUCUGCCGAUCCCAUUCGAACACACCUCCCCACCCAUUCGCGCACACCGCCGAUCAAUUUUGGCAUAGUUGAUAUAUAUAUACACAAAGAUUCAUAUACAAAACAGAUCAAGCAACAUUCUACGAGAGGAAUAUGACUAACCUGCACCGAGAAAAAACAAGAAGAAGUAGUACCCAGCUACGAAAACUCCACACGAACAACAGCAACAGAGAGAUGGUAGAAAAUGCAGUUUAAAACCUUGGUCUUAGCAGAGGAGGAGAGCAAGACAGGUAAGAGGUAUGAAGAAAGGGGGUGUAGGGUUCUGUGAGUUGCGACAGACUCUUCUAACUUUUUUAUAAAAAUAAUGAAAAGGCCUUAAUGGUACAGGGGUACACUAGGAAUUAAAAUUAAAUUAGGAGGUGCAGGACGAGAUAAAGGAAGUGGAGGGAGAAACACUCUUACUUAUAAACUCUUCAACUCCUAAUAAAAAGACUCUUUCAAAGUAACUCUUUCUCUAUGACACCUAUCAUCAUCCAUGAACGAUUUGGUAGAGCAUGAUACAUAUUCUGUACACAUACUAAUUAACGAAAAAUUAGUAUAUACUUUAUAUAUGGCUCUAUAUUAGGACAUUUACCCAAUCAAUAGCCUUCCUUUACAAUAACU